GACGAACGCUGGCGGCGUGCCUAAUACAUGCAAGUUGAGCGCUGAAGGUUGGUACUUGUACCGACUGGAUGAGCAGCGAACGGGUGAGUAACGCGUGGGGAAUCUGCCUUUGAGCGGGGGACAACAUUUGGAAACGAAUGCUAAUACCGCAUAAAAACUUUAAACACAAGUUUUAAGUUUGAAAGAUGCAAUUGCAUCACUCAAAGAUGAUCCCGCGUUGUAUUAGCUAGUUGGUGAGGUAAAGGCUCACCAAGGCGAUGAUACAUAGCCGACCUGAGAGGGUGAUCGGCCACAUUGGGACUGAGACACGGCCCAAACUCCUACGGGAGGCAGCAGUAGGGAAUCUUCGGCAAUGGACGAAAGUCUGACCGAGCAACGCCGCGUGAGUGAAGAAGGUUUUCGGAUCGUAAAACUCGGUUGGUAGAGAAGAAUGUUGGUGAGAGUGGAAAGCUCAUCAAGUGACGGUAACUACCCAGAAAGGGACGGCUAACUACGUG
RNAcentral lists this ribosomal RNA (497 nucleotides) under uncultured bacterium. Its description in RNAcentral is "partial 16S ribosomal RNA". It matches the Rfam family "Bacterial small subunit ribosomal RNA", at positions 28 to 507 of the family's 1533-position model. The record is from RNAcentral.